CCACCCUUAAUUAAUCUGCUCAUUUGCUUCUAUAUACAUUUAUCUGUUCAUGUUGUUCCAGCAGGCUGACACACUGCGAAGGGAGACGGGCAUCGCUUUCAGUCUUGCACAUCUGAUGUAGCUGACAGUGAUUUGAAGCCAAGGUGACGGCAGCUUCGAUGCCCCCAAUUCUGCCUGGAUUUGGCAAACUUUGGCAAAAUGCUUCAUCAAAACAGUCAGCAGAUGUAGCGGCUGGAGGGUCUUCUGUAGGUGUUUCUACCUGGUCUUCAAUAAAAUGAAAGAAGAGGCAACAGCAAAUAUAAUUCAGAUUGAAUGGAAGAAAACCACUUCUUUAAUGAUGGUGACCAAGCACUGGAAAAGGUGCCCGGAGGUGUGACAGGAUCUCUAUCCUUGGACAGUUUAAAGUUCAUGUGAAGAAGGCCUUGAGCAGCCAGAUCCUCCUUGAAGUCAGUGGCUUUCUGCAGCAGCACAGUGAAGCUCUUCCUCACUUUCUGUCUCUGUUCCCCUAUCACCUGUCUGUGCAAGAGAUGUGGGUUUGGAAGGUGAUUUACAGCUGCAUCAUUUGGCAGAGAGCUCUGCUAAUGCAUGACUGUGCUAAAGCCACUCGUGGGAAGGCAGCUCGGCUGCAGUGUGGAUUUCGGGUGCUUGUGCAGGCAGGAUCUGCCACCCAGCACCUCCAAGUGCUCGCCAUCCAGCACACACAUCAGUGGCACCAUCCUUUCCUUGCCAGCGAGGAUGAAUAAAGCUUAUGGCCAAAGCCCUGUGCUUAGA
Strigops habroptila (Kakapo) is the source of this 771-nucleotide long non-coding RNA. RefSeq lists it as uncharacterized. The transcript has 2 exons. The record is from RefSeq and is a predicted model, not a curated record. NCBI's taxonomy places the organism in Eukaryota, Metazoa, Chordata, Aves, Psittaciformes, Psittacidae.